AACGAACGCUGGCGGCGCGCUUAAUACAUGCAAGUCGAACGAGAAGGUGUAGCAAUACACUUGUAAAGUGGCGAACGGGUGAGGAAUACAUGGGUAACCUACCCUCGAGUGGGGAACAACCAGCCGAAAGGUUGGCUAAUACCGCGUACGCUUCCGGGUCUUCGGAUUCGGAAGGAAAGUCAUACCGUGGGUAUGACGCUCAAGGAUGGGCUCAUGUCCUAUCAGCUUGUUGGUAGGGUAACGGCCACCAAGGCUCCGACGGGUAGCUGGUCUGAGAGGACGAUCAGCCACACUGGCACUGCGACACGGGCCAGACUCCUACGGGAGGCAGCAGUAAGGAAUAUUGCGCAAUGGGCGAAAGCCUGACGCAGCCAUGCCGCGUGUGUGAAGAAGGCCU
Molecule: ribosomal RNA, 397 nt
Filed under: uncultured bacterium
Lineage: Bacteria
Description: bacterial SSU rRNA
Rfam family: Bacterial small subunit ribosomal RNA
Source: RNAcentral